RNAcentral lists this microRNA (21 nucleotides) under Danio rerio (zebrafish). RNAcentral's name for it is "Dre-Mir-133-P2b-v2_5p* (star (passenger))". The record is from RNAcentral. Lineage: Eukaryota; Metazoa; Chordata; Actinopteri; Cypriniformes; Danionidae.
GCUGGUAAAACGGAACCAAGU